UACGUAGGGGGCAAGCGUUGUCCGGAAUUAUUGGGCGUAAAGGGCGCGUAGGCGGAUAUUUAAGUCCGAUGUGAAAGAUCAGGGCUCAACCCUGAGAGUGCAUCGGAAACUGGGUAUCUUGAGGACAGGAGAGGAAAGUGGAAUUCCUAGUGUAGCGGUGAAAUGCGUAGAUAUUAGGAGGAACACCAGUGGCGAAGGCGACUUUCUGGACUGUAACUGACGCUGAGGCGCGAAAGCGUGGGGAGCAAACAGG
Molecule: ribosomal RNA, 253 nt
Filed under: uncultured bacterium
Lineage: Bacteria
Description: partial 16S ribosomal RNA
Rfam family: Bacterial small subunit ribosomal RNA
Source: RNAcentral